GAAAUUUUGAAAAAUAUACAAAAAAUAUUGAAAAAAAAUUAUGUAAUAUUUGUGUGUAUUUUAUUAGAAUAAGAAUAAAUGUGUGAAUAAUGCUCGCAUGACUCAAGUGUGUGAAUAUGUAAACAUGGCCGACGACAAUAAUUCCUACGAAUUACAUGAAAGUGUCUUUAAUGGGGAUAUAAGAAGAGUGUCCGCUCUUAUACGAACUUACGAUGUUGCCAAGAAGGAUAAGCAUGGUAAUACACCACUUCACCUGGCUGUAAUGCUGGGGCAUAAAGAAUGUAUACAUCUUCUGUUGGCUCAUGGAGCUCCAGUAAAAGUCAAGAAUUGCAAUGGGUGGAGUCCUCUUGCAGAAGCCAUCAGUUUUGGUGACAGACAAAGCAUAUCUGUGUUAUUACGAAAAUUAAAGCUGCAGUCUCGAGAACACAUGGAGGCUCGGCGGCCUGACCUAGUACGAGCACUGUCACAAAUGGGAGAUUUUUAUAUGGAACUCAAAUGGGAUUUUCAGAGUUGGGUACCCCUCGUGUCCAGAAUGCUUCCGUCCGAUACAUGUAAGAUUCACAAAAAGGGAGCGUCUAUCCGAUUAGACACAACGCUGGUGGACUUCAAUGAUAUGCGCUGGGAGAGAGGUGACAUUAGCUUUCUGUUUUCUGGGAGUUCAAAACCUUCACAUUCCCUGACAGUGCUUGACAACAAGUUGAAAGUCUACCAGGGAGUCAGACAUGAGGAAACAGAAGCAGAAAUAGAGGAUGAGGUGGACAUCCUUAUGAGUUCUGACAUAGUAGCUGCGCAGAUGUCAACCAAACAGAUCACUUUUUCAAGAGCACAGACAGGCUGGAUUUUUCGAGCAGAUAAAAAGGAAAUGGUUGGCAAGUUUAAUGCAGAUUUUUAUUAUUUGAAUGGCUUGACUCUGGAGUCUCGAAAACGGAGAGAACACCUAAGUGAAGAGGAUUUACAGAAGAAUAAAGCCAUAGUGGAAAGUUUUACUAAGGGAGGUGGGGCACAAUCUUUUGAUGAAUCAGUACGCAGAGCUUCAUUAGAACCCCCAAGCACAGAACCAGUAUCUUGGGAAACAUAUAUGCAAGCUGAACCUGGAAAACCCCCUCCAUUAGGUCGUGCACUCAUUUGCAAGGAAUCGGCUAAAUCAUUUAAGGCAACUGUAGCAAUGAGUGAAGAAUUUCCAUUGACAGUAGAGAUGCUUCUCAAUGUACUGGAAGUAAUUGCUCCAUUCAAGCACUUUGCAAAGCUGCGAGAGUUUGUCCAAAUGAAGCUCCCUCCAGGUUUCCCAGUUAAAAUUGAUAUCCCAAUCCUGCCAACAGUCUCAGCAAAAAUUACAUUCCAAGAAUUUGCAUUUCGAAAUGACAUACCUGACACCUUUUUUGAAGUUCCAUUAGGAUAUAGAGAAGAUCCUAAUAGGUUCCCUGAAUUAUGACGGUAUGAGGAUCUAAGCCUCUUGAGUGUUUCCAGUGUUGAAGAACAUCAAGACCUACAUAGACAAUGUUGUUCUGGGCCAGAGUGUGGUGGCAGAUCCCGAUUUGCUGUCAUUUGUAACCUGCUCCUCCCCCCCACCAUUACUCUCACCUUCACAGUGCUCAGUGCAUCUGUCAUCAUCAUUUGAUCUGCGGGGGCAGUCAGGUCAAAGGUUGGAUACAGAUGUGUCUUGUGCUCAGUGAACAUUCCAUCAUAAAAUAAGCCUAGAAGCAUUAAGAAAUUAUCUGUUAAUUGUUUUAGUGAUCAUCACCCCAGUCUCAUCAGGCAUCCUAAAUUUAAAAAAAAAAUAUUAGAACUAUUAAGAAAUAUCCAGGAAAGUAAAGAUCAGUGUGUAUUUUAUGUAUAUAGUUUUUUUUUAUUUACAAGUCAUCAUACUUGCUCAUGAGACUGAAAGGAAGGACCAGCAGUCUUGCCAGAAUACAAAAUAUGUAGCAGAUUUUGUUAGAUGGGCCUAGGGUGGACAGACAGACAGCAGGAACAAGACCCUGGAAAACAUGGUAACUCAAAAAACACUCAAAACACACUGACAAAUAAAAACCUAGUAGAGCAGUAAAGGAAGGCAGGAGGUAGCACACACAGCCCUGCCAAUUAUUAAAUUGCCUGUAUUACAGCAACAUCUCAUUUAACAGUUGAUUUUCAGGCUACAUGUUUUGUUCCCUAUAACAGAAGAAGGCCUACUACAUAGGCCUGGAAAAGCUGAGGGCCCAGCAACUCCACCUGACCAUAUGGUAAAUGAAGGGUACAGGGAAUGAGGGAACCUGAGACCCCAGAUCUCCAGGCAAGCACUGAACACUCAUUGGGAGUUAUGCUUGUAAACUAAAUGGCACAACCUGGCCUGUAAGAAGCAAAGAACACAAGUUAAAUGGCACUCCCACAACUGGUGGGCAAAGCACAGAGAACGACUAAUCUUGGCAUUAAUUGUAUAGAAGUGAAGAUCUACCAUGUAUUCAGACAAAGUGCAGGUCCUGAGCAAAUGAAGUUGCAGCAAUAGAGAUAUUCAAAAAGGAGAGUGAAUUUAGGUGUCAUGAGAGUAUAAGGUUGACAACUGGAGCCCUUGAGUGCAGCAAAGGUCUCUAGGUGACAAUGCCCAUGAUAAGUUAGUAAAAAAGAAAAUGUGAGUAUAUUUGGCAUCGAAGAGGGGUAGGUUAGAUUCCAAAUGGGCCAUCAGAGGCCCACUGCAGAAAAAGUAACCAAAAUAGCAGCACUUUGCAGAGCUGACAGGAUACCACUUGAAUUGUAAAAAAUGUAGACUAAUAGAAUCAUCAUUACAGUACAUACCAACUGUUAAAGAAAAACUUAAACCUCAUCUUUUUAAAGCCUUAUUCAUGCUGCACCUCCACCAGUUGAUCUGUCAACUUUCUGCAUUAACUCUAGCUAUACUUCUGGCAUUACUUCUAGCUAUACUUCUCAUAGGAUGGUUGAGCACUCUCGGUUUGAUUUUUGCUAUGAUCUCACAAUAGUUACAUUGACCUCAUUCUUUCAAAAUAUUUUACUAAGUAUUCAACACCAGCUAGAUGAGCAACAUAAGCACAGAGGCCCUGCAGGAAUUGUUAAUGACUAGACAAAGUGCCAGGGUGAUCACUACUCUGAAGGGUUCUGCACUAAGGACUCGGGACCAUGCAACCUAAAAUAGUCUCUACAUUUCACAGUUUUAAUUACUGGAAUACAUAAAUUACCCAGUAUUUCACUUUCUCAUAAAAUAUUCUGUACAAUAUUUCAUCAGAACCUUUUAAGUAUUAUCCCAGAAUAUAAAACUCAGACUAUUUAGGAUGCUAAUAUUGUGUGUGGGGAGUUGAUGGAAAAUACUUUUUCACUCUCCCUUUAAAGGUUGUUCACAUUAUAUUAUUUCCAUAUAUUUUAAAUAUAUGGCAUGCCUCUGGCAAGAUAGUGAUGGAGUGAAUGAUGAUGAGUUUCUUUUUCGGGUCACCCUACCUCGGUGGAAGAUGGGCAAUGUGUUAAAAAAAAAGUAUUUGUGCAAAUACAGAUAUAAGAAUGUAAGGAAAAAUUAUUAAUAAUGUAACAAGGCACUCAGUAAAAUAUAUUACUUGAAUCACAUUAUAAUAGACAGAAUUUUUAAAUCAGUAGACUCUUUCAUUUCAAGUGGGUUACACCCUGAAAGUGGUGAUACAUGUAAUAUUAUGCUCUGUAAAAUGAAGAACAUAUGGAGUUGUAAGAGAAGUGAAUGCUCAGGUGUUGGCAGGAAGUGUGGGGUUAAAAGAGAAAGAAUCUAACACAAAGUGGGAGUUGUUUCAGUUGCUCUUUGCUGAUGACACUGUGCUUUUGGGAGAUUCUGAAGAGAAGUUGCAGAGGUUGGCUGACGAGUUUGGUAGGGUAUAUAAAAGAAGGAAAUUAAAAGUGAAUAUAGGAAAGAGUAAGGUGAUGAGGAUACAAAAAAUAGGUAAUGGGAAAUUGGAUAUCAGAUUGGAGGGAGAGAGUAUGGAGGAGGUGAAUGUAUUCAGAUAUUUGGGAGUUGGUGUGUCAGCAGUUGGGUCUAUGAAAGAUGAGGUGAGCUAUAGAGUUGACAAGGGGAAAAAGGUGAGUGGUGCACUUAGGAGUCUGUGGAGACAAAGAACUUUCUCCAUGAAAGCAAAGAGGGGAAUGUAUGUGAGUAUGGUUAUACCAACACUCUUGUAUGGGUGUGAGAUAUGGGUGGUGAAUGUUGCAACAAGGAGAAGGCUGGAGGCAGUGGAGAUGUCAUGUCUGGGGGCAAUGUGUGGUGUGAAUAUAUUGCAGAGAAUCCAUAGUUUGGAGAUUAGGACGAGGUGCGGGAUUAUUGAGAUGCUUUGGACAUGUAGAGAGGAUGGAACGAAAUAGAAUGACUUUAAGAGUGUAUAAAUCUGUAGUGGAGGGAAGGCGGGGUAGGGGUUGGCCUAAGAAAGGUUGGAGAGAGGGGGUAAAGGAGGUUUUGUGUGCGAAAGGCUUGGACUUCCAGCAAGUGUGUGUGAGCGUGUUAGAUAGGAGCAAAUGGAGACAAAUGGUUUUUAGGACUUGACAUGCUGUUAGAGUGUAAGCAAGGUAACAUUUAUGAAGGGAUUCAGGGAAACUGGCUGGCUGGACUUGAUUCCUGGAGAUGGGAAGUUCAGUGCCAGAAAUCUGAAGGAGGGGUGUUAAUGUUGCAGUUUUAUAACUGUAGUGUAAGCAUGCCUCUGUCAAGACAGUGAUGGAGUGAAUGAUGAUGGAAGUUUUUGUUUUUUGGGCCACCCUGCCUUGCUGGGAAAUGGCCGAUGUAUUAAUAAAAAAUGGGAAAAAUAGGGUCACAUUCUUGAUGUCUAGAAAAAUUCUUAAUUUCUGAAAAAAAAAAAAAAGUUUUGAUACCUGGCACUGUAGGUGCCAUUACUUGUUGGUCUAGAAGUGUGUGAAGAGGGCUGAUGUUGCCCUACUAGGCCUAGUUGAAUGUUUUGAGGUUUAGAAAAUUCAUAAGAAAGAAUACUGUACAUGUACCUAAUAGGUUACAUAAAACAAUUGAUUCUUGCCUUAAAUUCAGGUUGCUGGUGCAUGUUCAUCUUGAUGGUAGAGAGAGUUGCUGUGGCCCUACUGGGCCAAGGUGGUUGACUUUCGUUGUUUUGCUGUUGAUGGCUGAGGCUGUUGUUCAUGUUAAUAGUUGUGGUUCUUACAUUGAUGUCAAUGCAGAAUUGUUAUUUGAAGGUUAUACUGUCAUGCUUAGCUAUUCUGUAAUGUGGGUAUGCAGCAUUUCAUACAGUUUAUAAUAAGGUAUCAUUACUUGGUCCAGAACCUGCUUCAUAUCAAUGCUUCUAAACAACAAAAAAAGGCACAAUACCAUGACUGGAACGAUACACAAAUAACCCGCACAUAAAAGAGAGAAGCUUACGACAACGUUUCGGUCCUACUUGGACCAUUUACAAAGUCACACUGUGACUUUGUAAAUGCUUCUAGAAGUGUCAGGAUCCUAUUCACUCAAAAACUCUGAUCUUUACCACUAUCAUGCAGUGUCUCAUGUAUGUCUUGGAUUGUCAAUUUCCAUCUGUCUUGUCUUGAGUUGAGUUGAGCUCCUGCAGUUUGCUCUUCUUCAUCUUCAUCCGAGAGUUCAUUUACAUCUGACUGCAUAUUUUCUUAGUUCUCACCUGGCACUCUUCUUGCCAGGUCCACAAUUUCCUGGACCUGACUGUCUGUUGAGGGAAAACCUGAGAAUUUAUUCAUCAUACAGGCAUAAUUUUCUCCAUCCUGCCUUAUGUCUUAGUCACUUCUCAGUCCAGUGGUUGUAUCAAAGAUAUAUUUGGUGGUAAAAGUACAACCCUCACACUUGGGUUUAGAGUCCAAGAGUUGAGUAUGGCUGUGGGAAUUAUCGAGAGUAAGAAGAAUCUUGAAUGAAAAUGUACUUCUGACAAGCUACAUUUUGACUGAAAGAAUAAAAUAAGUUUGGAACCAGCCAAUAAAAAGUGCCUCACUCUCCCACCAUGUUUUGAUAGACUGCCAAAUAACAGACGGUUUUGUCUGCUUUUCAAGCACAGGAAAUCGAGGGGUGAUUAAUGAGCUUGGACAGAAGACUCACUUUCCACUUUUAAAUUUGAUCUUAUGCAGCCUGUUGCACAGUAAACAAACACACUUUUCCAGGCUUUCCACCUUUUUACACUUAUAGUAUGUUAGUAUUUUCUCUCUAUGAUCAUAAAGGCAUUAAUAGGGCAUCUUUCUUUGUUUUGUGCUCAAUCUGUAAAUUCAGUAACUUUCCUGUCUUAUUUAUUUAUAUUGACCUACUUGACAUGCUCUUUAGCAAGAUACAGUCAGGAUUACUCAUUAUGCAAGUUCUUAUCAUCACCUCAUUCUCAAAUUUAACAAAUCAUUGUUUCUCUUAAUACCAAAUGUACAUCUCAUUCCCAAGACCUUUGCUCUACCUUUAAGCCUAUCUAUAACCAUGUUUUUCAAAGCUGGCAUAGUUUCACAUGCAAACUUCUUGGAACCUUCAGCAUCACUAGCAUUUUUCUUUUUGCCAUGGUUAAUAUCCUUGACAAGACAGGGUGAUGAAAGGAUAAAUAAAAUAUGGAUAUUUGCUGUUUGGAGUGACAUCUGAACUGUUGUAUUUGUGUGCCUCUGCUAAGACAGUUAUUAUCUGUGAAUGAUGGUGAAAGUGUUUUUCUUUCUUUGGGUCACACUGCCUUGGUGGGAAAGGGCCAGCAUGUUGGAAAAAAACAUAAGAGAGCUUGGUAUAGGAUAUGUCCAGAAAGUAACUGACCAUGUAGAUAGGUAUUAACACCCAGGAGCCAAGCUAGGCCUUUUCCUAAAAUAAUGGCCUUUCCCUAAGCAAGGCAUCAAGCUCAAUUUUAUUCAAAAUGUAAUUAUCCCAGGACUUUUAUGGUUCAAGCUUACAGUCAUUCUCUUACAUAGGGUAACCUUAGGUACAAAAUUUCAUUUGCAAUAUGUUGAUAAUACAGUACACAGUAGACGAAAUUUUAAGAGUCUGCUAUAUACUUCAAUAAUGUAUGUACUGUAUUAGUGCUACACCACCGAAGAAUGAAAGAUGAGUGAGGGGUGUACAAAUUGUAUAUAGGUGAGACUGAAUGUGACUGUGUUACACCACCAAGGAAGAUGGGUGAGUGGUGCAUUAUUUUUCUAAAAUUCAUGUGAAGCACUAUACUAGUAUGGAUUGUCUAGCACAAGGAAAGGUGGAGGAUUAUUCCUCCCCUACCAAUAAGGAGAAAGUUACACUGCUAGCUAUGCUAACCAACUUUCCUCCCAGUGAGUGGCACGGAAAGUGUAUAUGAGUGGGAGUAAAGGUUGGAAGAGGCAAUGAAAUCUAGGAAUGUUGGUAGAUGUAAUAUGUGAAUGGGUAAAACAAAUGGGGUCUGAGACAGUGAUCACAACUGUAGAAGAGGUUUCUUAGGGAGAAGUGAAUGAUUGACAAACUAUUUUUUGUGACCAUUGCAAUGGAGUCAUUUUUAUUUAGGCCUCAUUCAUAAUUUUAAACAUUUACAAUGGUUUUAUAUAGUAAAUUAUGUAGAAGUUAACCUUGGAUAACCCAGUAAAAUCAAACAGUGUGACUUAUUUCCGUUGGAGGUCCUUGUGUUAUAGUUACAUAGUUGUAUUUUUACAUAGGCGGCUUAGUACAUACUUUACACACAGUCUGUGAGACAGUUGAAAUGUGGCAAUAUUUGAACAGAAUAUGGUCUUACUAAUUUUACGUUGAAUAUUGUAUAUACAGCAAUAGUUGCAAAGUGAGAAACCACUUGGACAGGAAUAGGUAACACACGUAUGAUACAGUGGACCCCCGGUUAACGAUAUUUUUUCAUUCCAGAAGUAUGUUCAGGUGCCAGUACUGACCGAAUUUGUUCCCAUAAGGAAUAUUGAGAAGUAGAUUAGUCCAUUUCAGACCCCCAAACAUACACGUACAAAUGCACUUACAUAAAUACACUUACAUAAUUGGUCGCAUUGGGAGGUGAUCGUUAUGCGGGGGUCCACUGUAUUUGUUUAUAUUUCAGUCUCGGUCAGAGACCAGCUUCAACGGAUCUGUGACUGAGGCUGAACUAUUCGGAUCUUUCUUACUUAUGUGUCAUAUUUCUGUCCAUGUAGUUUGAAACUUUGCAUUAAUUAGUGUUUAUAACACUUGUAUCAUAGUACUGUAUAGUAAAAGGUUUUCUCAUUUACUGGUGAUGCAUGCCUCUUAGUCCUCAGUAGUAGAAAAUGGAAAGGAAACCAUUCACCAGCAAAUUGUAGAAAGCAUUACAUGGGUAAAGUAGGUCAUAAUAUAGUGGUGCACCUGACCUUUCAUAGUACUUUUUAGAAUUUGAGGAUCACUGACAUAACACAUUCAAGGAAACGAAAUAUUCUGUACCUAAAGCAAAAGCCAGAGAGGGAUGUAUGUUUGUACCUGUUAUCAGUGAGCUUAAAAUUAAAUUUUAUAAAGUAAACAUUUACAAUAAAUCAUGUAACCAAAAACAUAUUGAAUAAUUGGAAUUCCUGUAGAGUUCACUACCUUCAUUGGUAAUGGUUCUUAGUUUCCAUAUUAUCUUUAAAACAUUGCAGUAUCCCAAUUAAUGUACUAUUACAGUACAAGGUUUUUUUUAUAAACUUUUAAGGAGAUGCUUUAUGCCCAUAACUCAUAAUUACAUUUGCUUACCAUAAUUCAUUUCUUUUUAAUUUAAUACAACCCUGUUUUUUCUUAUGGACCAUCCCAUCUCAUAAGCAACUGUGAACUGUGCAAAUACCAUAUUCCUGUCAACUCAAGAACUGUUAUACUGAGUAUAGUCAUGCUUAUUCUUUUUUACUUUCCAGAAAAUGUCCUACUCCAAAUACAGUAUAACACCAUGUAUCCAGAAUCUUUUAGUUCUGGGACCUCAUUUUGAAUGGGGCAUUUCUGCUUGGCUCACCCAUCUCAUUUAAAAUGGAAAAUUUCGGGUGUUCCUAGGUAGGGUCGUAUUAGUUUUAGUUAGCACCGCUUGAAGCCUGAAGGUGGCGUGGGUAGCUACCCACAUCUCCCUGACUUGAUCUGGGCUGUUUGUUUACAAGCAGAUGUGACAGGCUUGUACAACAAGGAUUUCUUUUGCUAUUUUUAUUCAAAAUUCACUGAUUAGCAAUAUAUCCAUUCAGGAGUGGAAUUCUACACCUAUUCUGCAUGCCAAUGACUCAUAGAAGAUACAGUCUCUAAGGAUAUUUACCCUGGAAUACUCUAUUGCCUUUUCUAAAUAUUAUGAUGCAUCUUUUGUGAAAAUGUGUUUUCCUCAGUUCAGUUCGGUAUACUAACAUCAACUUCUGAGGCGAUUUGGUACAGUUAUGUCCUUUGUUAGUGAUGGGGUUACCAUUUUUUUUUUUUUUUAAGUGAUGUAAAUGGUUUAGGAAACCAACCCAUUAAAGAAUGAGACACCUAUGCAACAUCUGGAAAUCUUUGUUAAGGAAAUGUUUUACCAGCCAGUGGCUUUCAAAAUGUUUCCUCAAUGAAGAUUUCCAAAUGUUGCACAGGUCUCUCAUUCUUCAUCUUCUCUGAAGAAUGUAUUAUAAUCCUUUGUUGUGACAAAUAUACAUAAUUUAAGGUGUAUACUCUUCUUUUUCAAAAGAGAUUACCAACCUACAUGAUUUUUAGUGCUGUAUAAAAUUAUUUAUUUAUGCAGUAUACAAUUAUCCAGCUCAUCCUCCAACUUGUUUGCAGCUCAUGAGAAAAUGCAUGCUCCAGAUUUUACGAUACACUCUGCAUUACCAAAUAUAAGCCACCAAUUUUUUUUGUUGUUGCCUAAUAACUACUAAUCUAAGCAAACCUAACCUAGCUAAGAAUAAUAAAUACAGUAUUAAAAUAUCUGAAAAUUUUCAAGCACAAAGAUAUGUAUGAAAGGCAGUUCAUCAAAUAAUGCAUGCUCUAAUGGUAGAACAGGUUGCAUUACCAAUGUCCACUUAGUUUUGUAAAUGGAAAUCAACAUCAGUAUGCAAUGCAGUAUUUAUAAACUCAGUAAUGUAUAUCUCAGGCUUAUUGCAAAAAAGAUUCAGGAGUUCUGGUUAGCAGUAAUCAUAAACCAAGACAACAGUGCAUUAGGAUUUGUAAUAAAGCUAAUAUAAUUAUAUAAUUUUUGGCUUUAUAUCAAGAAGUGUAAAUAAUAGGAGUCCUCAAGUUAUACUUCAGCGUUAUAUAUCCUUGGUAAGGCCUCAUUUAGAUUAUGCUGCACAGUUCUCAUCUCCAUAUUACAGAAUGGACAUAAAUGAAGCCUAAAAUGUAUAGAGAGGGAUGACGAAGUUGAUUCCAUGUAUCGGGGAUUUUUCCUGUGAGGAUAGACUAGGAGCACUGAAUCUGCACCCUCUGAAAUGGUGUAGAAAUAAUGGGGAUGUGAUCAAAGUGUAUAAAUGGAAAACAGGAGUAAAUAAAUGGAAUAUAAAUAACAUGCUGAAAAUAUUUAACCAAGACAGGACUUAGAGCAGUGGGUUCAAGUUGGCAAAAUUUAGAUUUAGAAGGGAUAUAGGAAAGCAUUGGUUUGUUAACAGAGUUGUGGAUAAGUGGAAUAAUCUCCCAAGUAGCAUCAUUGAAGCAAGAACCAAGGGUAACUAAAAAAAACCAUACUAUGGGCGUGAUUUGAACCCGCGGUCAGAGAGUCUCAAAACUCCAGACCGUCGCGUUAGCCACUGGGCCAGCUAGCUUCAAUAAGAUUCGUCCAACUAGGUAUAUUUCUACACCAUAGGAAGGUUAGCAUAGGCACCACUGUGUUCACAAAUGCAAGUUUUUACAGACGAAUCUCCCGUGACAUUACGAUUUCGUGAGUCAUGUUGACGGCUUUGAGGGGACUUGAGCUAGAGUUCGUCACGGCCAUGCUAGCGGGAGAGUCGUCUGUAAAAACUUACAUUUGUGGACACAGUGAUGCCUAUGCUAACCUUCCUAUGGUGUAGAAAUAUACCUAGUUGGACGAAUCUUAUUGAAGCUAGCUGGCCCAGUGUCUAACGCGACGGUCUGGAGUUUUGAGACUCUGACUGCGGGUUCAAAUCCCGCCCGUGGUAUGGUUUGUUUGCAACCGUGUCGUUACGAUUUCGUGAGUCAUGUAACUUUAAAAAUAGGUUAGACAAUACAUGAGUGGAUAUGGGUGGGUGUGAGUUGGACUUGCCCAGCACGGGCCAGCAGGCCUGCUGCAGUGCUUCUCCUAACUAAUGUUCUUAAAUGAGACCCCACCAAUGGAAGAUCUUAUUACCAUUCUCACCUUUGUUAAGCUGUUCUGUUAUAACUAGUGUUUAUUGCAGUUCCACUGAGUAGUGUUGCUCUGCCUGAGCCACAUGCACUAACCUUGCUCUGUUCUUACCUAGGUUCUCUUUCCAGUGACAUAUAUGAGGCUCUUUCAGAAGCUCUUAUGUAUCAGCCAUGAACUACUACUGCAUCACAAGAUGCAUUUUGUGUGGUGGCUCUUUGGAUUUAUGGCACUUUCUCUAGUGGUUGUUGUUCUGGCCCUUGACUUUCAUUAACCUCUUGAGGGUCAAGGCCCCCAAUCUUAAACUUGUCCACAGGGUCCAAGAAUUUUCAAAAAAAAUUUUACUAUUUUUUUCCUAUGAAAUGGUAGAGAAUCUUUUUCUGGUGGUAAUAAAAGAAAAAGUACAAAAUUUGAUGGAAAAUUGAUAAAAUUACACUAUCGCUAAUUUUUCAGUGUCAGCAAUAUUUUGCCCACUUUAAGUCCCAUUUAAGGUCAAUUACAUUGUCCCAGUUGACCAAAGCUAUUUUGCUAGUGUGCCUUCCAUUUUAUCGAUUGAGCACAAAAAAUGCCUAAUCGACUAUUUCAACUACCCAAUAAAGAUAUCAGAAAUUGAUAAUUUGGCCAAUUUCACACAAAUUUCAAAAUAUUCUAUUUUCAAUAUAGGGUCCAGAAUAAACAAUACAGACAUUCCUGGCACUAAAAUAACAUUUCCUCUGUCCAUUAGUUACAUUCCCAGGCUUUACACAUGAAUUCCAUUUUUAUUUUUUAUUCACAAAGAAUUUUUAUUCACACCAAAAAAUGGAAAUUUUAAUGUUAGGCAGUAUUGUAAUAAUUGUAUAAAUAACAUCAGGGCAUUCGUGAACGCACAUUAGACCCACCAGUUGACGUGUAUUGGAUGCAUGAUGUGAUUUGUUUUCUCUUGAACAUCAGCAAAAAUCAAACAUUUCCACUACAAUGAGCCUACUUUCACGCUAUUUUCGGUCCUAAAAACCGAUUAGAAUCAUCUAUACAUAUAUCUUCCAUUCUAUCAAAUGAGACCAAGAAUACAACUAUAAAACCAUAUGAAAAUACACCACAAAGUCACUGUUUUAAGCCAAAAAUGUGGUUGCCAUUUUUUUCUUAUGCACUGCAUGCUGUAGGAUUUUUUUAUAUGGUGCUCAUUUACUGCAUAGACCCAUUCUCUCAUAUCUAGACCCAAAUUUACUGCUUACAGCUUAAUGCAGUGAGCUGAGCUCAUCACGUAGAACUACGGCACAGACACUGGCUUCAAAGCCAUAGAACUACAGCAUGGACCCUCAAAGGGUUAUUAUUAACCCAUAAACGGUCCAAACAUAUACAGUGGACCCCCGCAUAACGAUUACCUCCGAAUGCGACCAAUUAUGUAAGUGUAUUUAUGUAAGUGCAUUUGUACGUGUAUGUUUGGGGGUCUGAAAUGGACUAAUCUACUUCACAAUAUUUCUUAUGGGACCAAAUUCGGUCAGUACUGGCACCUGAACAUACUUCUGGAGUGAAAAAAUAUCGUUAACCGGGGGUCCACUGUAUAUACGUUCACUACCCCAGUGCCCCGAAUAUUUUGAAAAAUAAAAAAAAUCUUUUUUUUUUAUUAUUGAAAAAAAAGAGCACAUUUUUCUAAGUGUUAUAAUAUAAAAAAAAAAUUUUAGGGUCAGUAUUUACCAAGAUAUGAGGCCCAGAAGUUGGCACUGGAUGCUCACUUGACAGCAACAGUGAGUCCUGCCGCUUGCAGAAGUGUUCUAUUUUUCAUAUUAUUUUAUAUAAUUUUUAUGUUUUGAUAACUACAAUUUAUAGUAGUUCUUGUCAUUUCAUAACCAAUCUUUGUUCUGACACUAGUACAGUGGACCCCCGGUUAACGAACUUUUUUCAUUCCAGUAGUAUGUUCAGAUGCCAGUACUGACCGAAUUUUUUCCCAUAAGGAAUAUUGUGAAGUAGAUUAGUCCAUUUCAGACCCCCAAACAUACACGUACAAAUGCACUUACAUAAAUACACUUACAUAAAUACACUUACAUAAUUGGUCGCAUUUGGAGGUAAUCGUUAUGCGGGGGUCCACUGUAUUAGGUACUGAAAUUGCACUCAAAUUGUUACAAACACACUGACAGGUGGACAUUUGCACCUGCCUUGGUCAUUUACUAUUGUCUUGGAAUAUAUACAAAGUAUUUAUAUGUCCCAGCAAUGUUUUGGAUAUUUGGAAGUAUAUAAUAAUAAUAAUGAGGAGGAGGAGGAGAAGGAGGA
Molecule: RNA transcript, 13343 nt
Organism: Cherax quadricarinatus
Lineage: Eukaryota; Metazoa; Arthropoda; Malacostraca; Decapoda; Parastacidae
Gene name: ankyrin repeat domain-containing protein 13C
Source: RefSeq, a predicted model, not a curated record